RNAcentral lists this ribosomal RNA (427 nucleotides) under uncultured beta proteobacterium. Its description in RNAcentral is "bacterial SSU rRNA". It matches the Rfam family "Bacterial small subunit ribosomal RNA", at positions 355 to 774 of the family's 1533-position model. Lineage: Bacteria; Pseudomonadati; Pseudomonadota; Betaproteobacteria. The record is from RNAcentral.
UGGGGAAUUUUGGACAAUGGGCGAAAGCCUGAUCCAGCCAUGCCGCGUGAGUGAAGAAGGCCUUCGGGUUGUAAAGCUCUUUUAGUCGGAAAGAAAGAGUUGCAAUGAAUAAUUGUGAUUUAUGACGGUACCGACAGAAAAAGCACCGGCUAACUACGUGCCAGCAGCCGCGGUAAUACGUAGGGUGCGAGCGUUAAUCGGAAUUACUGGGCGUAAAGGGUGCGCAGGCGGUCUUACAAGUCAGAUGUGAAAGCCCCGGGCUUAACCUGGGAAUUGCGUUUGAAACUACAAGGCUAGAGUGCAGCAGAGGGGAGUGGAAUUCCAUGUGUAGCAGUGAAAUGCGUAGAGAUGUGGAAGAACACCGAUGGCGAAGGCAGCUCCCUGGGUUGACACUGACGCUCAUGCACGAAAGCGUGGGGAGCAAACA